Molecule: transfer RNA, 75 nt
Filed under: Pseudomonadota bacterium
Lineage: Bacteria; Pseudomonadati; Pseudomonadota
Also listed under: 3 other names
Description: tRNA-Lys
Rfam family: tRNA
About the family: Transfer RNA (tRNA) molecules are approximately 80 nucleotides in length. Their secondary structure includes four short double-helical elements and three loops (D, anti-codon, and T loops).
Source: RNAcentral
GGGCCGUUAGCUCAGUGGUAGAGCACCUGCCUUUUAAGCAGGGGGUCGCAGGUUCGAUCCCUGCACGGCCUACCA